AAUCCGUCGACUUUAANAAUCGUGAGGGUUCAAGUCCCUCUAUCCCCAAAAAG
This 53-nucleotide transfer RNA is filed under the name Pilea cadierei. Its description in RNAcentral is "partial tRNA-Leu". Lineage: Eukaryota; Viridiplantae; Streptophyta; Magnoliopsida; Rosales; Urticaceae. The record is from RNAcentral.